UUCCGGUUGAUCCCGCCGGAGGUUACUGCUUUUGGUGUUCGACUAAGCCAUGCAAGUCAUAUGUUCCUCGUGAACAUGGCAUACUGCUCAGUAACACGUGGAUAACCUGCCCUUGGGUCUGGGAUAACCCCGGGAAACUGGGGAUAAUACCGGAUAACGCAUAUGUGCUGGAAUGCUUUAUGCGUAAAACGGAUUCGUCCGCCCAAGGAUGGGUCUGCGGCCUAUCAUGUAGUAGUGGGUGUAAUGUACCUACUAUCCAACAACGGGUACGGGUUGUGAGAGCAAGAGCCCGGAGAUGGAUUCUGAGACAUGAAUCCAGGCCCUACGGGGCGCAGCAGGCGCGAAAACUUUACAAUGCGGGAAACCGUGAUAAGGGAACACCGAGAGCCAGCAUCAUAUGCUGGCUGUCCAGAUGUGUAAACUACAUCUGUUAGCAAGGGCCGGGCAAGACCGGUGCCUGCCGCCGCGGUAACACCGGCGGCCCGAGUGGUGACCGUUAUUAUUGGGU
RNAcentral lists this ribosomal RNA (508 nucleotides) under uncultured archaeon. RNAcentral describes it as "bacterial SSU rRNA". It matches the Rfam family "Archaeal small subunit ribosomal RNA", at positions 1 to 509 of the family's 1478-position model. The record is from RNAcentral.